AAAUUGAAGAGUUUGAUCAUGGCUCAGAUUGAACGCUGGCGGCAGGCCUAACACAUGCAAGUCGAACGGUAACAGGAAGCAGCUUGCUGCUUUGCUGACGAGUGGCGGACGGGUGAGUAAUGUCUGGGAAACUGCCUGAUGGAGGGGGAUAACUACUGGAAACGGUAGCUAAUACCGCAUAAUGUCGCAGGACCAAAGAGGGGGACCUUCGGGCCUCUUGCCAUCAGAUGUGCCCAGAUGGGAUUAGCUUGUUGGUGAGGUAA
RNAcentral lists this ribosomal RNA (263 nucleotides) under Salmonella enterica subsp. arizonae. Its description in RNAcentral is "partial 16S ribosomal RNA". It matches the Rfam family "Bacterial small subunit ribosomal RNA", at positions 1 to 260 of the family's 1533-position model. Lineage: Bacteria; Pseudomonadati; Pseudomonadota; Gammaproteobacteria; Enterobacterales; Enterobacteriaceae. The record is from RNAcentral.